Frankliniella occidentalis (western flower thrips) is the source of this 237-nucleotide long non-coding RNA. RefSeq lists it as uncharacterized. The record is from RefSeq and is a predicted model, not a curated record. The transcript has 2 exons. Lineage: Eukaryota; Metazoa; Arthropoda; Insecta; Thysanoptera; Thripidae.
UCCCCAAAAUAUACAAAUCCAUGUUCUGGUGUUCGUAAGCGGUGAUAAGCUGCAAGACCCAACCAUUCUAGGUGCAGCAACACACUGACGCUGCCUUGUGCACGAACUCUGAAGCUCCAGACAUCUACACAGAGAAAAUGUAUUCUGGAAAUCACCUGAGCUGGUAACUUCCUUCUUGUGUGUCUGUUCCCACCAUCUGGCAUCAGUUCCCUGACAUUUAAAAGGUUUUAGGUUUCA